This 377-nucleotide unclassified non-coding RNA is filed under the name uncultured fungus. RNAcentral describes it as "sequence contains ITS1". The stretch from base 1 to 103 matches the Rfam family "5.8S ribosomal RNA", at positions 50 to 154 of the family's 154-position model. The record is from RNAcentral. Lineage: Eukaryota; Fungi.
GAACUGCGAUAAGUAGUGUGAAUUGCAGAAUUCAGUGAAUCAUCAAACUCUUGAACGCACAUGGCGCCCUGUGGCAACGCAGGGCACGCCUGUUUGAGCCUCGGUAUUCAACCUCGUACCUACCACCUAGUGUGGCGUACGGAUCAUGGGGAUUGUGCUCGCCACAUUCCCUCAAAUGCAGCUGCUUGGCGCAGCGGGAUACGGACCAGAGCCGUUCCGGUCACCCAGUUUAUGAUGGCACAUCGCCUCUCUCUACUGGCCCGGGCCGUUACUCUUUCCCUCCCUCUUCACUACCAGGCACGAAGUGUUCGCCUCUAACGAGGCACACCCCUUCAAACUUCGAGCUCAAAUCAGGCGAGACUACCCGCUGAAUUUAA